UUCCGGUUGAUCCUGCCGGACCUGACUGCUAUCGGAUUGAUACUAAGCCUUGCGAGUCAUAGUAGCAAUACAAGGCAGACGGCUCAGUAACGCGUAGUCAAUCUACCCUGUGGACGGGAAUAACCUCGGGAAACUGAGAAUAAUGCCCGAUAGAACAUAAUGCCUGGAAUGGUUUAUGUUUGAAAUGAUUUAUCGCCAUAGGAUGGGACUGCGGCCUAUCAGUUUGUUGGUGAGGUAAUGGCCCACCAAGACUAUUACACGUACGGGCUCUGAAGAGGAGUAGCCCGGAGAUGGGUACUGAGACACGGACCCAGGCCCUAUGGGGCGCAGCAGGCGAGAAAACUUUGCAAUGUGCGAAAGCACGACAAGGUUAAUCCGAGUGGUUUCUGCUAAAGAAACCUUUUGUCGGUCCUAGAAACACCGACGAAUAAGGGGUGGGCAAGUUCUCGUGUCAGCCGCCGCGGUAAAACCAGCACCUCAAGUGGUCAGGAUGAUUAUUGGGCCUAAAGCAUCCGUAGCCUGCUUUGUAAGUUUUCGGUUAAAUCCAUAUGCUCAACAUAUGGGCUGCCGGGAAUACUGCAAAGCUAGGGAGUGGGAGAGGUAGACGGUACUUGAUAGGAAGGGGUAAAAUCCUUUGAUCUAUUGAUGACCACCUGUGGCGAAGGCGGUCUACCAGAACACGUCCGACGGUGAGGGAUCAAAGCUGGGGGAGCAAACCGGAUUAGAUACCCGGGUAGUCCCAGCUGUAAACCAUGCAAACUCAGUGAUGCAUUGGCUUGUGGCCAAUGCAGUGUUGCAGGGAAGCCGUUAAGUUUGCCGCCUGGGAAGUACGUACGCAAGUAUGAAACUAUAAGGAAUUGGCGGGGGAGCACCACAAGGGGUGAAGCCUGCGGUUCAAUUGGAGUCAACGC
Molecule: ribosomal RNA, 911 nt
Filed under: uncultured archaeon
Lineage: Archaea
Description: bacterial SSU rRNA
Rfam family: Archaeal small subunit ribosomal RNA
Source: RNAcentral